CCUACGGGGGGCAGCAGUGGGGAAUAUUGCACAAUGGGGGAAACCCUGAUGCAGCGACGCCGCGUGAGCGAUGAAGUAUUUCGGUAUGUAAAGCUCUAUCAGCAGGGAAGAAAAUGACGGUACCUGACUAAGAAGCCCCGGCUAACUACGGGCCAGCAACCGCGGUAAUACGUAGGGGGCAAGCGUUAUCCGGAUUUACUGGGUGUAAAGGGAGCGUAGACGGGUUUGCAAGCCGGAUGUGAACGGCUGGGGCUCAACCCCAGGACUGCAUUUUGAACUGUCAUGCUAGAGUGUCGGAGAGGCAGGCGGAAUUCCUGGUGUAGCGGUGAAAUGCGUAGAUAUGAGGAGGAACACCAGUGGCGAAGGCGGCCUGCUGGACGAUGACUGACGUUGAGGCUCGAAAGCGUGGGGAGCAAACAGGAUUAGAUACCCUAGUAGUC
Molecule: ribosomal RNA, 440 nt
Filed under: uncultured bacterium
Lineage: Bacteria
Description: partial 16S ribosomal RNA
Rfam family: Bacterial small subunit ribosomal RNA
Source: RNAcentral